Bos taurus (domestic cattle) is the source of this 1156-nucleotide long non-coding RNA. NCBI's taxonomy places the organism in Eukaryota, Metazoa, Chordata, Mammalia, Artiodactyla, Bovidae. The record is from Ensembl.
UGCUGCCAUGUCUGACACUGGGACUGGGGUACAUACAGCAGGGGCUCUGCUAAAGACUGUUGAAUGAAUAAAUGCGUGAGGCCUCAGUGGGCCUGAAGGUAUUAGCUAAACUUUCUACCCAUCAGGGUCUCAGGAUUCUGGGGCUAUGACCACUGCCACUACUAACAAUUUCUUCCACCAGCAGAAUAAGUAGCUCCCAAUUACUGAGCAUUUAGCGUGUGCCAGGCAUCGGGGUAAGCAUUUCUCUGUGCCAUCUUGCUCCCACCUUUCACCCAUCCUAUGGGGUGGGUGUUCUGUGAGUGUCCUCAUAUCACAGGUGGGGAAAUGAGCUCCACCGGGAGCCGUGGUAGAACCUGCACUGGCCCAUCAGAGCUCACAGCCUUUUUCCACGCCAAGUGAGGGUGGGUGGUUGGAGCCCAGAACAGGGGGCACCUGUCAUCCCUUCCAGAAUUUGCCUUUUUCCAUUGCCUCCCUGUAGAACUUCUCUCCUCCCUUGAAGACUUUGCUUCUCCUAGAACCUCUCUCAGACUCAUCAGUCUCCUUCCCAAGUUCCGUGCAACCUGGAAAUGUCAGUGUUCCCCAGAGGUCUGCCCUUAAACCUGCAGGCUGGUGGGGUGUCCUCACGGGUUCCUACCCACUGGGAAAGCCUUUCCCUGGAAGAUGCUGGGUCUUCAUCUGCUCCCACGUCUGGAGAACACCUUUGCCUCUUGGCUAACUGGACCCUGAAGCCUCCUGAUUGUAGGAUCUCCCUCCGCACCCUUGUCCCAGCAUGGCAUGACAUGGUGGGCUCCAGGAGUGAAGAUCAAGUCCAGUGGCCUUUCUCAUGGGGACCCUCGGUGACUCACUGCCUAAAUCUAGUUUGCUUCUUGACCAAUCCAAGACCCUUUAAGACAAAAUUUUAAUUUUUUUCUUUUUUGGAUGUAGACAGCACUUCACAGUUUACAAGUGUUUCCAGGUUUAUUUUCUCGUUCCAUGGUCUUUACCCCUCUGUGGAUUGUCAGGGACUGUGCUAUCAACCCCAGUUAUAGCUGGAAAAUUUGGUUCAGAGAGUUAGGGAUGGAACCAAGCCCCUGACUCUCUCCCAUCCUCAGACUUUUCCCAUCCAUGUCUUCCUCAACCUUGCAUUUCCCAAAUAGGAGCUGAAAACCAAGGAAAG